RNAcentral lists this unclassified non-coding RNA (253 nucleotides) under uncultured Alphaproteobacteria bacterium. RNAcentral describes it as "contains 16S-23S intergenic spacer region". It matches the Rfam family "Bacterial small subunit ribosomal RNA", at positions 524 to 776 of the family's 1533-position model. Lineage: Bacteria; Pseudomonadati; Pseudomonadota; Alphaproteobacteria. The record is from RNAcentral.
UACGGAGGGAGCUAGCGUUGUUCGGAAUUACUGGGCGUAAAGCGCGCGUAGGCGGUACUGUAAGUUAGGAGUGAAAUCCCCGGGCUCAACCUGGGAACUGCUCUUAAGACUGCAGAACUUGAGGACGAGAGAGGAAAGUGGAAUUCCUAGUGUAGAGGUGAAAUUCGUAGAUAUUAGGAAGAACACCAGUGGCGAAGGCGACUUUCUGGCUCGUAUCUGACGCUGAGGUGCGAAAGCGUGGGGAGCAAACAGG